RNAcentral lists this ribosomal RNA (232 nucleotides) under uncultured bacterium. RNAcentral describes it as "partial 16S ribosomal RNA". It matches the Rfam family "Bacterial small subunit ribosomal RNA", at positions 118 to 347 of the family's 1533-position model. The record is from RNAcentral.
UGAGCAAUCUGCCCUUCUCUUUGGAAUAAGCGCUGGAAACGACGUCUAAUGCCGAAUACGACCUCCUUUCGCAUGAUCGGAGGUGGAAAGCUCCGGCGGAGAAGGAUGAGCUCGCGGCCUAUCAGCUAGUUGGUGUGGGUAAUAGCCCACCAAGGCGACGACGGGUAGCCGGCCUGAGAGGGUGACCGGCCACACUGGGACUGAGACACGGCCCAGACUCCUACGGGAGCAG